This 786-nucleotide ribosomal RNA is filed under the name uncultured Actinomycetes bacterium. RNAcentral describes it as "bacterial SSU rRNA". It matches the Rfam family "Bacterial small subunit ribosomal RNA", at positions 61 to 825 of the family's 1533-position model. The record is from RNAcentral. Lineage: Bacteria; Bacillati; Actinomycetota; Actinomycetes.
GUCGAACGCGAAAGUCCCCUUCGGGGGGCAAGUAGAGUGGCGCACGGGUGAGUAACACGUAGGUAAUCUACCUUUGGAUGGGGAAUAACAAUCGGAAACGAUUGCUAAUACCGCAUAAUGCAGCGGCACCUAAUGGUGACAGUUGUUAAAGCGGGGGAUCGAAAGACCUCGCGUCUGAAGAGGAGCCUGCGGCGGAUUAGCUAGUUGGUAAGGUAAUGGCUUACCAAGGCUACGAUCCGUAACCGGCCUGAGAGGGCGGUCGGUCACACUGACACUGACAUACGGGUCAGACUCCUACGGGAGGCAGCAGUCGGGAAUUUUGGGCAAUGGGCGAAAGCCUGACCCAGCAACGCCGCGUGAAGGAUGAAAUCCCUCGGGAUGUAAACUUCGCAAGAACGGGAAGAAUAAGUAGGGGACAAUACCCCCUAUGAUGACGGUACCGUUUGUAAGCUCCGGCUAACUCCGUGCCAGCAGCCGCGGUAAUACGGGGGGAGCAAGCGUUGUUCGGAUUUACUGGGCGUAAAGGGCGCGUAGGCGGCCAGCACAAGUCAGUUGUGAAAUCUCCGAGCUUAACUCGGAAAGGUCAACUGAUACUGUGCGGCUAGAGUGCAGAAGGGGCAACUGGAAUUCUUGGUGUAGCGGUGAAAUGCGUAGAUAUCAAGAGGAACACCUGCGGCGAAGGCGGGUUGCUGGGCUGACACUGACGCUGAUGCGCGAAAGCUAGGGGAGCGAACGGGAUUAGAUACCCCGGUAGUCCUAGCCUUAAACGAUGAAUGCUUGGUGUCU